Molecule: ribosomal RNA, 1989 nt
Filed under: Vibrio cholerae
Lineage: Bacteria; Pseudomonadati; Pseudomonadota; Gammaproteobacteria; Vibrionales; Vibrionaceae
Description: partial 23S ribosomal RNA
Rfam family: Bacterial large subunit ribosomal RNA
Source: RNAcentral
GGGGGAACUGAAACAUCUAAGUACCCCGAGGAGAAGAAAUCAACCGAGAUUCCGGUAGUAGCGGCGAGCGAACCUGGAUUAGCCCUUAAGCACUCGGUGAAGUAGGUGAACAAGCUGGAAAGCUUGGCGAUACAGGGUGAUAGCCCCGUAACCGACGCUUCAUCGAGCGUGAAAUCGAGUAGGGCGGGACACGUGAUAUCCUGUCUGAAUAUGGGGGGACCAUCCUCCAAGGCUAAAUACUCCUGACUGACCGAUAGUGAACCAGUACCGUGAGGGAAAGGCGAAAAGAACCCCUGUGAGGGGAGUGAAAUAGAACCUGAAACCGUGUACGUACAAGCAGUAGGAGCACCUUCGUGGUGUGACUGCGUACCUUUUGUAUAAUGGGUCAGCGACUUAUAUUCAGUGGCAAGGUUAACCGUAUAGGGGAGCCGUAGCGAAAGCGAGUCUUAACUGGGCGCUCAGUCUCUGGAUAUAGACCCGAAACCGGGUGAUCUAGCCAUGGGCAGGUUGAAGGUUGAGUAACAUCAACUGGAGGACCGAACCGACUAAUGUUGAAAAAUUAGCGGAUGACUUGUGGCUAGGGGUGAAAGGCCAAUCAAACUCGGAGAUAGCUGGUUCUCCCCGAAAGCUAUUUAGGUAGCGCCUCGGACGAAUACUACUGGGGGUAGAGCACUGUUAAGGCUAGGGGGUCAUCCCGACUUACCAACCCUUUGCAAACUCCGAAUACCAGUAAGUACUAUCCGGGAGACACACGGCGGGUGCUAACGUCCGUCGUGGAGAGGGAAACAACCCAGACCGCCAGCUAAGGUCCCAAAGUAUUGCUAAGUGGGAAACGAUGUGGGAAGGCUCAGACAGCUAGGAUGUUGGCUUAGAAGCAGCCAUCAUUUAAAGAAAGCGUAAUAGCUCACUAGUCGAGUCGGCCUGCGCGGAAGAUGUAACGGGGCUAAGCAAUACACCGAAGCUGCGGCAAUGAAGUUUACUUCAUUGGGUAGGGGAGCGUUCUGUAAGCCGUUGAAGGUGAAUCGUAAGGUUUGCUGGAGGUAUCAGAAGUGCGAAUGCUGACAUGAGUAACGACAAAGGGGGUGAAAAACCUCCUCGCCGGAAGACCAAGGGUUCCUGUCCAACGUUAAUCGGGGCAGGGUGAGUCGACCCCUAAGGUGAGGCCGAAAGGCGUAAUCGAUGGGAAACGGGUUAAUAUUCCCGUACUUCUGACUAUUGCGAUGGGGGGACGGAGAAGGCUAGGUGGGCCAGGCGACGGUUGUCCUGGUUCAAGUGCGUAGGCUUGAGAGUUAGGUAAAUCCGGCUCUCUUUAAGGCUGAGACACGACGUCGAGCUGCUACGGCAGUGAAGUCAUUGAUGCCAUGCUUCCAGGAAAAGCCUCUAAGCUUCAGAUAGUCAGGAAUCGUACCCCAAACCGACACAGGUGGUCGGGUAGAGAAUACCAAGGCGCUUGAGAGAACUCGGGUGAAGGAACUAGGCAAAAUGGUACCGUAACUUCGGGAGAAGGUACGCUCUUGAUGGUGAAGUCCCUCGCGGAUGGAGCUGACGAGAGUCGCAGAUACCAGGUGGCUGCAACUGUUUAUUAAAAACACAGCACUGUGCAAAAUCGCAAGAUGACGUAUACGGUGUGACGCCUGCCCGGUGCCGGAAGGUUAAUUGAUGGGGUUAGCGCAAGCGAAGCUCUUGAUCGAAGCCCCGGUAAACGGCGGCCGUAACUAUAACGGUCCUAAGGUAGCGAAAUUCCUUGUCGGGUAAGUUCCGACCUGCACGAAUGGCGUAAUGAUGGCCACGCUGUCUCCACCCGAGACUCAGUGAAAUUGAAAUCGCUGUGAAGAUGCAGUGUACCCGCGGCUAGACGGAAAGACCCCGUGAACCUUUACUACAGCUUGGCACUGAACAUUGAACCUACAUGUGUAGGAUAGGUGGGAGGCUAUGAAGACGUGACGCCAGUUGCGUUGGAGCCGUCCUUGAAAUACCACCCUUGUAUGU